RNAcentral lists this long non-coding RNA (1083 nucleotides) under Cricetulus griseus (Chinese hamster). Its description in RNAcentral is "lncRNA (ENSCGRG00015033519.1)". Lineage: Eukaryota; Metazoa; Chordata; Mammalia; Rodentia; Cricetidae. The record is from RNAcentral.
UCCCUCCAGGUCCUUCCUGCUCUACCUGCUGUGUUGAACAGACAGAGGACCUCAGUUAAUACAGUUAACUUGUUAAAUGAUUAAAGACUCCUUGCUUUUGCAUUGGAUAGGGUCUCUUGGUGAUUUUGUGGUUCAGAAUUUGGGCACAACACUAUCAGUUCUGUUGGUUGGAGAAACAGAUCUAAAAUGGAAGAAUGAGCCAGAUGGAUGGCAUGUAUAUGAUCCAUAGCUACCACUGCUCUACAGUUACUUUCAGGAAGUAACUGUUCCUGACAGCUUCUGUUGAGGUGACUGACCUGAUCCAAUCACAUUCCAUUGGUGACAACAGGCAAGGUAUUAUUCAAUGAUGGGAGCAGUUUCACUCAAAAAUAGGAUCAGGUUUGCAUGGACAGUGGUGGCAACCCAAGGUAAGACUCUCUGGACACAAUUUUUAAGCAGAGGAACCUUAGCUCUAUAAGCUUAGCUUUUAGGUUUGACUCAAGCACUCCACUGUAGAGAAGACAAAGCUAUCACUGAGAGCAGAUAUGCUUUUUCCAUGGCCCAUGCCCAUAGGGCUCUAUACAGGGAAUCAAAAUUUCUAACCUCAACAGUAAAAGAAAUCAAAACUAGAAAAGAAAUCAUAGCCCUAUUGAAAGCUAUAUGGUUAGAGUUAGGUGGUGUUGUGCCCAAAUUCUGAACCCCAAAAUUAGCAAGAUACCCGAUCCAAUGCAAAAGCAAAGAAUCUUUAAUCAAUUGACAAGUUAACUGUAUUAACUCGGAUCCUCAAUCCAUCAGGUCACAGAGGACCCGUGGGGCAGGAAAUUUAUUGGGGUAGAACAAGGGGAAUGUCUGGGGUCCACAAUAGUCUUAGGAUUGGUGCACUUGCAGGCUUAGGAAACCUGUCCUGUGUUGAUUGGUCAACUAACUGCAGCUGCAGCCAGAUCAUUAUGGCCUAUAGGCCCUCCCAAGGCAGUUGCUGUGCUAUGCAUUCCACUGUUACCGUAAAGUACAUCCAGAGCCCGACAGCUAACUUCUGAUUGGUUCCUUGCCACAUGGAGGGUCUCUGGCUUCCUAGUGACUGGGGCAAGGUUGGAAGCCCAGCAC